This 21-nucleotide microRNA is filed under the name Brachypodium distachyon (stiff brome). Its description in RNAcentral is "bdi-miR7740-3p". The record is from miRBase by way of RNAcentral. Lineage: Eukaryota; Viridiplantae; Streptophyta; Magnoliopsida; Poales; Poaceae.
GAGACAGAGGUUGUUCGGAUG